UUUCCGUAGGUGAACCUGCGGAAGGAUCAUCAACAAAACAAAAUUCAAAACAAAAAACAAACAACACCAAUUUCAUUCCGAAACUAUAUUGGAAUGUUUUUUUAAUGGGGAUGUGGAGAUUUCUAAUUUUUUUAAUUAGAUUUUUCUCAUGCCCCAUCAUUUAAAACUCCUAAAAAAACAAAUUAAAAAAUUAUUCCAAAAAAUUUUAAAAUAUAAAAAUAGAGACAACUUUUAACAAUGGAUCUCUUGGCUCUC
This 255-nucleotide unclassified non-coding RNA is filed under the name plant metagenome. RNAcentral describes it as "partial contains small subunit ribosomal RNA, internal transcribed spacer 1, and 5.8S ribosomal RNA". The record is from RNAcentral.